RNAcentral lists this ribosomal RNA (1342 nucleotides) under uncultured bacterium. Its description in RNAcentral is "bacterial SSU rRNA". It matches the Rfam family "Bacterial small subunit ribosomal RNA", at positions 28 to 1381 of the family's 1533-position model. The record is from RNAcentral.
GAUGAACGCUGGCGGCGUGCUUAACACAUGCAAGUCGAACGAUGAAGCCCAGCUUGCUGGGUGGAUUAGUGGCGAACGGGUGAGUAACACGUGAGUAACCUGCCCUUAACUCUGGGAUAAGCCUGGGAAACUGGGUCUAAUACCGGAUAGGAGCGUCCACCGCAUGGUGGGUGUUGGAAAGAUUUAUCGGUUUUGGAUGGACUCGCGGCCUAUCAGCUUGUUGGUGAGGUAAUGGCUCACCAAGGCGACGACGGGUAGCCGGCCUGAGAGGGUGACCGGCCACACUGGGACUGAGACACGGCCCAGACUCCUACGGGAGGCAGCAGUGGGGAAUAUUGCACAAUGGGCGCAAGCCUGAUGCAGCGACGCCGCGUGAGGGAUGACGGCCUUCGGGUUGUAAACCUCUUUCAGUAGGGAAGAAGCGAAAGUGACGGUACCUGCAGAAGAAGCACCGGCUAACUACGUGCCAGCAGCCGCGGUAAUACGUAGGGUGCGAGCGUUAUCCGGAAUUAUUGGGCGUAAAGAGCUCGUAGCGGUUUGUCGCGUCUGUCGUGAAAGUCCGGGGCUUAACCCCGGAUCUGCGGUGGGUACGGGCAGACUAGAGUGCAGUAGGGGAGACUGGAAUUCCUGGUGUAGCGGUGGAAUGCGCAGAUAUCAGGAGGAACACCGAUGGCGAAGGCAGGUCUCUGGGCUGUAACUGACGCUGAGGAGCGAAAGCAUGGGGAGCGAACAGGAUUAGAUACCCUGGUAGUCCAUGCCGUAAACGUUGGGCACUAGGUGUGGGGACCAUUCCACGGUUUCCGCGCCGCAGCUAACGCAUUAAGUGCCCCGCCUGGGGAGUACGGCCGCAAGGCUAAAACUCAAAGGAAUUGACGGGGGCCCGCACAAGCGGCGGAGCAUGCGGAUUAAUUCGAUGCAACGCGAAGAACCUUACCAAGGCUUGACAUGUUCUCGAUCGCCGUAGAGAUACGGUUUCCCCUUUGGGGCGGGUUCACAGGUGGUGCAUGGUUGUCGUCAGCUCGUGUCGUGAGAUGUUGGGUUAAGUCCCGCAACGAGCGCAACCCUCGUUCCAUGUUGCCAGCACGUCGUGGUGGGGACUCAUGGGAGACUGCCGGGGUCAACUCGGAGGAAGGUGAGGACGACGUCAAAUCAUCAUGCCCCUUAUGUCUUGGGCUUCACGCAUGCUACAAUGGCCGGUACAAUGGGUUGCGAUACUGUGAGGUGGAGCUAAUCCCAAAAAGCCGGUCUCAGUUCGGAUUGGGGUCUGCAACUCGACCCCAUGAAGUCGGAGUCGCUAGUAAUCGCAGAUCAGCAACGCUGCGGUGAAUACGUUCCCGGGCCU